GACGAACGCUGGCGGCGUGCUUAACACAUGCAAGUCGAACGGAAAGGCCCUGCUUUUGUGGGGUGCUCGAGUGGCGAACGGGUGAGUAACACGUGAGUAACCUGCCCUUGACUUUGGGAUAACUUCAGGAAACUGGGGCUAAUACCGGAUAGGAGCUCCUGCUGCAUGGUGGGGGUUGGAAAGUUUCGGCGGUUGGGGAUGGACUCGCGGCUUAUCAGCUUGUUGGUGGGGUAGUGGCUUACCAAGGCUUUGACGGGUAGCCGGCCUGAGAGGGUGACCGGCCACAUUGGGACUGAGAUACGGCCCAGACUACUACGGGCGGCAGCAGUGGGGAAUAUUGCACAAUGGGCGGAAGCCUGAUGCAGCAAAGCCGCGUGCGGGAUGACGUCCUUCGGGUUGUAAACCGCUUUCGCCUGUGACGCAGCGUGAGUGACGGUAAUGGGUAAAGAAGCACCGGCUAACUACGUG
This 468-nucleotide ribosomal RNA is filed under the name uncultured bacterium. RNAcentral describes it as "partial 16S ribosomal RNA". It matches the Rfam family "Bacterial small subunit ribosomal RNA", at positions 28 to 507 of the family's 1533-position model. The record is from RNAcentral.